Molecule: small nucleolar RNA, 218 nt
Organism: Oppia nitens
Lineage: Eukaryota; Metazoa; Arthropoda; Arachnida; Sarcoptiformes; Oppiidae
Product: small nucleolar RNA U3
Exons: 1
Source: RefSeq, a predicted model, not a curated record
CAUACACCACUUCAUGCAAUCAUUUCUAUAGUAUGUGUCCUCAGUUUCACAUCCAAUAUGUGAAGUCAGUCUUAACUGCGAUGACCAGUGUAUGACAUACCUGUCUGAGCGCGAUAUCGACCCAAUGUUUAUCGCCGACUGUGUCGGCAGUUGUGGUCAUUGAUGACCGUUCCAUAACAUUCUAUGUAAUGGGAGGACAGGUAUGGGUUCUGUAUGGG